GACGAACGCUGGCGGCGUGCUUAACACAUGCAAGUCGAACGGUAAGGCUCCAGCUUGCUGGGGUACACGAGUGGCGAACGGGUGAGUAACACGUGGGUGACCUGCCCUGCACUUCGGGAUAAGCCUGGGAAACUGGGUCUAAUACCGGAUAGGACUGCACCGUGAGGGUGUGGUGGAAAGUUUUUUCGGUGUGGGAUGGGCCCGCGGCCUAUCAGCUUGUUGGUGGGGUAAUGGCCUACCAAGGCGGCGACGGGUAGCCGGCCUGAGAGGGUGGACGGCCACAUUGGGACUGAGACACGGCCCAGACUCCUACGGGAGGCAGCAGUGGGGAAUAUUGCACAAUGGGCGGAAGCCUGAUGCAGCGACGCCGCGUGGGGGAUGACGGCCUUCGGGUUGUAAACUCCUUUCACCAUCGACGAAGGGUUUCUGACGGUAGAUGGAGAAGAAGCACCGGCUAACUACGUGCCAGCAGCCGCGGUAAUACGUAGGGUGCGAGCGUUGUCCGGAAUUACUGGGCGUAAAGAGCUCGUAGGUGGUUUGUCGCGUCGUCUGUGAAAUUCCGGGGCUUAACUCCGGGCGUGCAGGCGAUACGGGCAUAACUUGAGUACUGUAGGGGAGACUGGAAUUCCUGGUGUAGCGGUGAAAUGCGCAGAUAUCAGGAGGAACACCGGUGGCGAAGGCGGGUCUCUGGGCAGUAACUGACGCUGAGGAGCGAAAGCAUGGGGAGCGAACAGGAUUAGAUACCCUGGUAGUCCAUGCCGUAAACGGUGGGCGCUAGGUGUGGGUUUCCUUCCACGGGAUCCGUGCCGUAGCUAACGCAUUAAGCGCCCCGCCUGGGGAGUACGGCCGCAAGGCUAAAACUCAAAGGAAUUGACGGGGGCCCGCACAAGCGGCGGAGCAUGUGGAUUAAUUCGAUGCAACGCGAAGAACCUUACCUGGGCUUGACAUAUACAGGAUCGCGCCAGAGAUGGUGUUUCCCUUGUGGCUUGUAUACAGGUGGUGCAUGGUUGUCGUCAGCUCGUGUCGUGAGAUGUUGGGUUAAGUCCCGCAACGAGCGCAACCCUUGUCUUAUGUUGCCAGCACGUUGUGGUGGGGACUCGUAAGAAACUGCCGGGGUUAACUCGGAGGAAGGUGGGGAUGACGUCAAAUCAUCAUGCCCCUUAUGUCCAGGGCUUCACACAUGCUACAAUGGUCGGUACAGUGGGUUGCCAGUCCGUGAGGGCGAGCUAAUCCCGCAAAGCCGGUCUCAGUUCGGAUCGGGGUCUGCAACUCGACCCCGUGAAGUCGGAGUCGCUAGUAAUCGCAGAUCAGCAACGCUGCGGUGAAUACGUUCCCGGGCCU
RNAcentral lists this ribosomal RNA (1341 nucleotides) under uncultured bacterium. Its description in RNAcentral is "partial 16S ribosomal RNA". It matches the Rfam family "Bacterial small subunit ribosomal RNA", at positions 28 to 1381 of the family's 1533-position model. The record is from RNAcentral.